GCAGUGAGUUCGACACACCAUGCCGACUGUCAGCGUGAAGCGUGAUCUGCUCUUCCAAGCCCUGGGCCGCACCUACACUGACGAAGAAUUUGAUGAACUAUGUUUUGAAUUUGGUCUGGAGCUUGAUGAAAUUAAAGACCUAGAGCUUUUAUGUCCAAGGUGCAGUUUGUCCACUGAUCACCAGCAUCGCUGUGUUUGGCCCAUAAAGAAGGCUGCCUCCUAUCAGGAAAAAACUGGAGCAAUACAAUGCACCGUGGAAGGAGAGAGUGGAACUAAUUGAAAAAGUCAUAACUAUACAAACCAGAAAAUCACUGGAACUGAAGAAAAAGACAUCUGAGAAGGAAAUAAUAAGUAAAGAACAAGGUAAUGUAAAGGCAGCAGGAGCCUCUGAUGUUGUUCUUUACAAAAUUGACGUCCCUGCCAAUAGAUAUGAUCUCCUGUGUCUGGAAGGAUUGGUUCGAGGACUUCAGGUCUUCAAAGAAAGGAUAAAGGCUCCAGUGUAUAAACGGGUAAUGCCUGAUGGAAAAAUCCAGAAAUUGAUUAUCACAGAAGAGACAGCUAAGAUACGUCCUUUUGCGGUAGCAGCAGUUCUCCGUAAUAUAAAGUUUACUAAAGAUCGAUAUGACAGCUUCAUUGAACUUCAGGAGAAAUUACAUCAGAAUAUUUGCAGGAAAAGAGCACUGGUUGCCAUUGGUACCCAUGAUUUGGACACUUUGUCGGGCCCAUUUACUUAUACUGCAAAGCGUCCUUCAGAUAUCAAAUUCAAGCCUCUAAAUAAGACCAAGGAGUAUACAGCCUGUGAACUGAUGAACAUAUACAAGACUGACAAUCACCUGAAACAUUAUUUACAUAUCAUUGAAAACAAACCCCUGUAUCCAGUUAUCUAUGAUAGCAAUGGUGUCGUCCUUUCAAUGCCUCCCAUCAUCAAUGGGGAUCAUUCCAGAAUAACAGUAAAUACUAGAAAUAUUUUUAUUGAAUGCACGGGAACUGACUUUACUAAGGCAAAAAUAGUUCUUGAUAUUAUUGUCACCAUGUUCAGUGAAUAUUGUGAGAAUCAAUUUACGGUCGAAGCUGCUGAAGUGGUUUUUCCUAAUGGAAAAUCACAUACCUUUCCAGAAUUAGCUUACCGAAAGGAGAUGGUGAGAGCUGACCUAAUUAACAAAAAAGUUGGAAUCAGAGAAACUCCAGAAAAUCUUGCCAAACUUCUGACCAGGAUGUAUUUAAAAUCAGAAGUCAUAGGUGAUGGGAAUCAGAUUGAGAUUGAAAUCCCUCCAACCAGAGCUGACAUUAUCCAUGCAUGUGAUAUUGUAGAAGAUGCAGCUAUUGCUUAUGGAUAUAACAACAUUCAGAUGACUCUCCCGAAAACUUACACCAUAGCUAAUCAAUUUCCUCUUAAUAAGCUCACUGAACUUCUCCGACAUGACAUGGCAGCCGCUGGCUUCACUGAAGCACUUACCUUUGCCCUGUGCUCCCAAGAAGAUAUUGCUGAUAAACUAGGUGUGGAUAUCUCUGCAACAAAGGCAGUCCACAUAAGUAAUCCUAAAACAGCUGAAUUUCAGGUGGCACGCACUACCCUUCUUCCUGGCCUCCUGAAGACCAUAGCAGCAAAUCGUAAGAUGCCCCUUCCACUGAAACUGUUUGAAAUCUCUGACAUUGUAAUAAAAGAUUCUAAUACAGAUGUAGGUGCAAAAAACUACAGACAUCUCUGUGCUGUUUAUUACAACAAGAAUCCUGGGUUUGAGAUCAUUCAUGGGCUGCUGGACAGAAUUAUGCAGUUGCUCGAUGUGCCUCCUGGUGAAGACAAGGGGGGAUAUGUGAUCAAAGCAUCAGAAGGGCCUGCUUUCUUCCCCGGGCGAUGUGCAGAGAUCUUUGCCAGGGGUCAAAGCGUCGGGAAGCUUGGGGUCCUUCAUCCUGACGUUAUCACCAAAUUUGAGCUGACCAUGCCCUGCUCCUCCCUAGAAAUCAAUGUUGGACCCUUUUUGUGAAGAUUGGUCUCUGUGGUGUGAUUCUCUUCCCAGGUGUCCCUUUCUCCUCCCCUAGUGUCCUUAAGUCCUCCUCCACAGGGAACAUCUAUUUGGGCUUUGAUGUUUAAUAAAGUAGAAAGCACUGUCUGGCUGUGUGGGUAGAGACCAUCCUUUCCCUGCAUAUUAGGCCAGCUUGUGCCAUAUACCAGUGUGGUGUCUGUGUGUGAAGCUGCAUUGUUGGGUAAAAGCCCCGUGGAGUGCUGGAGAAAUGCACUAGCAGAGUGCAGGAUCUGUUCUGAAAGGCAGACGUGCUCCUCAGACAUCAGAACAUCACAUUGGAACGGAUUACUCCUGCAUAACAAGAUCCCAUUUCUUUCCUUAUUGAUAAAACAAGAUAAUCGAUGAGAAUUCAUGUUGCAUGAGUUCGAGAUAACUGAGGGGUUUAGCUUUGAUUUUCUACAUUUGACAUGUAUUCAUCAUUGAGAAACACUAAAAUAACAAUAUUUUUAGAAAACGUUUAAGAAUCAAUUAUGGUCCAACAAUUAUAGCUUCUGAGGUCAGUUUAAAGUGAAAGAAAAAUCUGUAAUACAAGGAUUCAAAAUAUGUGAGGGUGCAUAGGUAUUUUUUACUCUAUCUGUGAUACUCUAAGAUAGAGUACAUGCAACAAAGAUCUGUUCUGCUGUAAGAGUUAAAAUGGACAAGUAUUGAUAUCAAUGCAGUAUGAACAUUAGGAAACAAUGAGAAGCUUAUUUUUGCCAUAGGCCAUACAUGUUACUGUAAUCAGUCAGUUAUAAAAUCAUGGUUUUAAAUACUUAAUUGAGCUACUAGUUUCUCUAUUGUCCCAGGGAGAUAUUAGACCUCUCUUUUUCUGAAGCUAAGCUUCAGCCAAUCCUCCUUGUUUUAUAUCCUAAUUUCCUUUCUUACUUCAAUCUAGAAUUCUCCAGUAGGUACCAUCUCUGGAAAAAAGCUGGGUCUCAUGUUUGAGACAAGUUCCCAGGUACUAUUGAAGUAAUAAGAAAUAUGAUAAAAUAUAAUACUUUAAAGUCCCAGUAGAAAUAGCUAACAAAGGCUGGGUGCGCUGUGGCUCAUGCCUGUAAUCCUAGCACUUUGGGAGGCUGAGGUGGGCAGAUCACUUGAGGCCAAUAGUUCGAGAUCAGCCUGACCAACAUGGUGAAAUGCCAUCUCCACUAAAAAUAUAAAAAUUAGCCAGGCAUGGUGGUGUGGGCCUGCAGUCCCAGCUACCUGGGAGGCUGAGUCAGGAAAAUCUCUUGAACCAGGAGGUGGACGUUGCAGUGAUCCCAGAUUGUGCCACUGCCCUCCAGCCUGGGUGACAGAGUGAGAUUCUGUCUACAAAAAAAAAAAAGAAGAAGUAGCUAACAAAGAUAGUGAAAUAAGAAUUAUGUUUAUGGAUCUUUUGCUGAGUCUACUACUAGGAGAAAACCUGACCAUAUUACAACCUUGAAUUGGGGCAGCAGUGUCUAACUCUGUAAGAUUUGUGAACACACACACUUCCAGCUGACCCUUCACAGCUCUGUUAUAAGCAGAUCCUUACAACAUUUUAAAAAUGAAAUAUGCCCUCUAAAAAUAAUGCAUGCCAAAAGGACUUGUAUCCAGCAUGCAUAAAGAUUUCUUAAAACUUAAUAAUAAAACUUAAUAGUAAAAAUAAAACAACUGUUUUUUAAAAAUGUGCAAGAGUUGAGCAAACAUUUCCCAAAAGAUGACAUAUGAAUGAGCACUUGAAAAGAUCCUCAACAUCGUUAGUCAUCAGGGAAAUGCAACUAAAAUUCACAAUGACAAACUGCAUACCCAUUAAAAUGGCUAAAAUUUAAGAUUCAUAAAUCAAAUACUGCUGAGACUGGAGCAAGUGGAACUUUCAUGCACUGCUGGUGAGUCACAAUGUAAAAUGUUACAUUGUGACUUUAGAAAACAGCUUGGCAGUCUCUUGAAACAUACACCUACCAUCUAGCCAUUCUAUUCCUAGGUUUACCCAUAUGGCCAAAGAUUUUUAUGCAAGUGUUCACAGUGUUACUUAUAGUAGUUACAAAUUGCAGUAUAUCCAUACUAUGAAAUACUUCUCAGCAAUAAGAAGGAAUGAACUACUGAUCCUCAAAACAACAUGAAUGAAUUUCAAAACAGUAUGCUAAGUGAAAGCAAGAGACACAAAAGACUCUAUUUAAUUCUAUUUACCUGAGAGUCUAAAAAAGUCAAAAGCAGGUGGUCGGCAGGACCUCAGGAAAGAGAACUGACUGCAGUGGGUUAAGAGAAAACUUUUUGGGGUGAUGGAAAUUUUAUCUUAAUUGAGGUGGUAGGUGUACUUCAGGUGUAGGUUAUACCUUUGUAAAGCUGGGAGAAAAAGAAUGUAAUGUAACAUGUAGUAUUUUACUGAUUUUAACUACAUAACACCAGUUGAUAAAUGCCUAGAGAAAUAGCCUGAACUGUAGAAUUGGCAGUUGUGCUCAAGGUGGCUCACUGGUCCACAGCUAUUAAUGAUAUAUUCUCCCUUAGUUUCAGGUUCGCUCUAGUUAAAAUCAUGGCUUAUGGAUCAUCAUAUGAUAGCCCUUGUUGAAGUAGGUGGAACCAUUUGUUCUGUCAGCAGCUACCCACCUGGAUAUUUUUGGGGGUGGCCAAAAUUACUUGUAAUGAAAAACCCACUAAUGCCUAAUUGUAUAUCCCAGCAUGAAAGGGGAAAGAUCAACUCCAUGCAUCAUGUAGAUGUUUCUGCCCUCGGAAGCAGGAAAUGGUAGGCAGAAAAACAGUGUCGGCUGCAUUGGAAGAAGCGAAUCCAGCUCAUGAGUCGAGGCUCUGCAGCCAGAUCAUCUUACACUUGUCCCUGGUGAAGCAUUUGAACUGGAGCCAGGGCAGUCUGUGAGUACUGCCAAAAGCCUUUAUUACAGAAGAUGCACACCUUCUUAGUAAAAACUGGGAGCUCUAGUAUUAAAGUGAAAAUUAAAUGGAAUUGAUUUUUGUUCUAGCUUAGAAAAAACUUAAAUUCUACCACUACAGCCUCACAGUCCUGCAGUGCUCUUCUAGUUUUGUUUGUUUUUUGUUUUUUUAGACGGAGUCUCGCUCUGUCACCCAGGCUGGAGUGCAAUGGCACAAUCUUGGCUCACUGCAACCUCCACCUCCUGGGUUCAAGCAAUUCUCCUGCCUCAGCUUCCCGAGUAGCUGGGACUACAGGUGUGUGCCACCAUGCCUGGAUAAUUUUUGUAUUUUUAGUAGAGACGGGGUUUCACCACGUUAGCUAGGCUGGUCUCGAACUUCUGACCUCAGGCGAUCUGUCCACCUCUGCCUCCCAAAGUGCUGGGAUUACAGGCGCCCAGCCUGCUCUUCUGUUUUUAAAUUAUUUUUGAAUUGAUCUUUUUUCACAUUUUAAUUUUUUUGGUUUAAUAACGGUAUGAGAGUAGGAAUUCUCCCUGAUGUGUAGGGUGAAAACAGUUGAGUUUCAGAGAGAUCAAUAACUUACUCAGAAGUCACAUAGCCAAUAAAUGAGUUUGAGACACUAUAAAAGAGUGACUUGGAGUCCACAGACCACUCACUGAUUUGCAUUAUUUACUUAUUUAUGCGAAAGUAAAUAAUGGGACUUUCUACACUUUUUAAAAAUAUAAAAAUAAUGGGAGACAAAAAGUUAAAAAUUGUUAAGUCCAAUACUUUAAAAAAACUCUGCAAACUGUGGCCUUACUGAGUUAAUCUACCUUUCUUCCUCCUGAUUCCCUGAAGUAACUAACUGCUGUUAACAAUUUAGCCUGUAUUGUUCCUUAGUUUGGACAUUUUCCUUGAUUUGUACAGUCAGCCACACACACCUGCUCACAUUUUUGGGGGUCAUGCUCUACUUACUGGUUUGCAACAAGUUUUGUUUUUUAUUUUACAUAUAUCUCAUGACAUUUCACUUAAUAUGCCCCAUUUUUUCAGGUCAGUGCCUAUAGACCUAUCUCAUUCUUUUAAAUGAGGUAAUAUUCUAUUGUACAGAUGUCCGUAAUUGUUCAAUUAUUCCCUUGUUGGUGGACAUUCAGUUGUUUCCAACUGUUUGCAAUUAUAAACACUGCUCCAAUGAACCCCCUAUCCUGCUAAAUAGCACUGGCUUAGGACCCCAAGGAAAACCAGUCCUAAUGGGUGCAAGACUGUAUAAAUAUCCACAUUUGACAGACACAUUCAGAGAUGCAUAGAGUUCAUUAGAUAUUUCUUUGAUGUGACGUUUGUACUUGAACUAUAUAUUAUUCCAGUACCUUACAUCUUAGAUGUAGAAGUCGCUAGGUCAAAGGAUGUGUUUUGAAUUUAAAACAUGUUGAAUGACUGUUCUCACAUUUUAAACAGGAGUAAUCUACUACAAACCAGCCAGCCUAACCACUGCCCCUGCUCUCAGCAAUGAUGGGCUCAUCAGCUUGGUAAGAGAGAACAUUACUCACAAUCUUGCUUCUCAAUCUUAAUCUAUUUGUGCUUGGUGUUUUAUAUAACAUCACUAACCCUAAUACUUGAGUAUUUACUUUGGCCCUUCUGUCCAUUUUAUCCAAAAGCAAACAGAUAGCCUUCAAGGGACACCAUUGCCUUAAGCAGAAUAUGCCUCCUAAGCAUUGAAAGCCUUUGACCCAUCUGAUAUCCAAGUUCUGGCUUAUUAUGUUAUUAGGGCCUUGAAUAACUUUAUGUAUAUUAUUAUGGACUGAAUGUAUCCCCACAAAUUCAUGUUGACCCUCUGACCUCCAGUGUGAUGGUCUUUGGAGAUGAGGCCUUUGGCAGGUGAUUAGAGCUAGAUGAGGUCAUGAGAGGGAGGCCCUCAUGAAAGGCUCAGUGGCCUGAUAAGAAGAAACACCAGAGAGCUUGCUCUGUUUCUCUGCCUACCUGGCGCACACAUACAGAAGAGGUGAUAUGACCACACAGCAACAUGGUGGCCACCAGCAAGCUAGGAGAGGGAUCAGAAUGAAACCUAUUUUGCUGGCACCUUGAUCUUGAAAUUCUAGCCUCCAGAACUGUGAGAAAUAAAAUUCUUUUAUUGAAGCCA
Molecule: RNA transcript, 6957 nt
Organism: Homo sapiens (human)
Lineage: Eukaryota; Metazoa; Chordata; Mammalia; Primates; Hominidae
Gene: FARSB
Gene name: phenylalanyl-tRNA synthetase subunit beta
Exons: 18
Source: RefSeq, marked reviewed